Molecule: non-coding RNA, 1606 nt
Organism: Benincasa hispida (wax gourd)
Lineage: Eukaryota; Viridiplantae; Streptophyta; Magnoliopsida; Cucurbitales; Cucurbitaceae
Source: RefSeq, a predicted model, not a curated record
UAUUCUUCAAUCUUCCGCACGGCGCACCCGCACAAGGAGUUAGGGUUUUGACUGAGACUCGAUUUUUCUUCCGCACCCCAAGCCGCCGUUCCUUCCGAUUUUCUUCCACUGUUCCACACCUCGCUCCAUCGUGAUUCGCCUUCGUUCCACUUCGUAGUUCCAGGCUUCCAGCCGGCAGCCGGCAGUCGUAGUUCGUCUUCGUUCCACAUCAUUCCACUUCCAGCCGACAAUCGUAGUUCGUAUAUUCCAGCCGCAGUUCGUCUUCGUUCUUUCUUCGUAGUUUCAGCCGCAUAUCUAGAGCCUCCAUUCUUUCUUCGUAGUUCCAGCCGUAGGUCAGUAUAUUCGUAGCUUGAUAUCUUCCAUUCCAGCUGUUUUAAUGCAUUGUAGAGUGUAGAUUCUAGCCGUUUCAAUGGAAAUUAGUUUGAUUUAUGGAUGUGGUGGGUAAUGAUUGACUGAUUGUAAUGUAUUGUAAAUGAAAAUUAGUUUGAAAAUAACGGAUAUGGAGUUUGAAAACAAUGGAAAUUAGUUUGACUUUGAUUUAUAGAUAUGUGGGUAGUGAUUGACUUAACAAUCUUGCUGAGUUUUUGUAAAGCUGAAAUCCUUUAAGUUUUUUUGAAUUGUGUGAUACUGACGACGCCUGUCAUGUUGUGGUUCAACUACAUGGAUUCAAUGGAUAUGGAGUUUGAUGGAACUGCAACUGAUGCUUCAAAAAAUGAACGAGAUGUAGAAGAAACGGUUACCAAUACAAAUAUCGUUGAUGUUGAUUCAACAAAUAAGACAUCAGAUGUUCCAAAUCCACCAAAAAGAAGGAAGGUGGUGAAAAAAUCCAUAGUUUGGGAUCAUUUUGAGAGGCUAAAAAGUGAUCCUAAAGACCCUCAUGCUCAAUGUAAGUACAAAGAAUCUAUGCAUGUCAUUCCAAACGUAAUGGUACUGGGACUAUGAAGAAUCAUUUGGAAAAUUGUAAAAAAUACCCUUACCAGAAAAAGAGAGAUCCAACCCAAAUGACAUUAUCUUUCAAAACUAAAGCCAAAAACAAUGUUGGGGAUAAUAAGUCACAACUUGUAUGUGAGUCAUAUAGUUUAGAGAGUUUUCGGGAAGUGUUGGUUUGAAAUGGUAAUUGUUGGCGAAUUGCCAUUCAAAUUUGUGGAGGGUAAAGGAUUUAAGAAAUUUGUCAUGUACAUUCAACAUAGAUUUGUUGUUCCAUUUGAGUCGGCUUUUAGUACAAGAGGACAUGUUGUUGAUUCAUCACGUUGUUCAUUGGCUCCAAAAUAGUGGAGGCUCUCAUUUGUACUCAAAAUUGGCUAAAUUCUGGUCCAAUAGAUCUUGAAGUUCAACAUUACAUGGAAAAAGCUUCAUUAUUUCAAGAAGAAUUCAAAGCGGUUAUGGACAAUGAAAAAGACAUUCAAGACCUUCUAGAUUUUGUAAAAUUGUCCGUUAACGAUUAAGCAUUUAUCAUUUGAUUUUAUUAUAAUUUGGUUGUAUUUGGCAAUUGACUUUAUGUUUUAUUGUAAUUGGAUUGUAUUCGAUAAUUGACUUUAUGUUGUAAUUUCUAGUUUGAUUGUAUUGUAUGUGAGUGUGACUAUGUGUCAUGUGACAUUUCUAUUUC